Molecule: ribosomal RNA, 544 nt
Filed under: Trichoderma spirale
Lineage: Eukaryota; Fungi; Ascomycota; Sordariomycetes; Hypocreales; Hypocreaceae
Description: eukaryotic LSU rRNA
Rfam family: 5.8S ribosomal RNA (bases 172-325)
Source: RNAcentral
UGUGACGUUACCAAACUGUUGCCUCGGCGGGAUCUCUGCCCCGGGUGCGUCGCAGCCCCGGACCAAGGCGCCCGCCGGAGGACCAACCAAAACUCUUUUGUAUACCCCCUCGCGGGUUUUUAUAUCUGAGCCAUCUCGGCGCCUCUCGUAGGCGUUUCGAAAAUGAAUCAAAACUUUCAACAACGGAUCUCUUGGUUCUGGCAUCGAUGAAGAACGCAGCGAAAUGCGAUAAGUAAUGUGAAUUGCAGAAUUCAGUGAAUCAUCGAAUCUUUGAACGCACAUUGCGCCCGCCAGUAUUCUGGCGGGCAUGCCUGUCCGAGCGUCAUUUCAACCCUCGAACCCCUCCGGGGGGUCGGCGUUGGGGAUCGGCCCUUUACGGGGCCGGCCCCGAAAUACAGUGGCGGUCUCGCCGCAGCCUCUCCUGCGCAGUAGUUUGCACACUCGCAUCGGGAGCGCGGCGCGUCCAUUGCCGUAAAACACCCAACUUUCUGAAAUGUUGACCUCGGAUCAGGUAGGAAUACCCGCUGAACUUAAGCAUAUCAAU